This 378-nucleotide long non-coding RNA is filed under the name Saimiri boliviensis boliviensis (Bolivian squirrel monkey). Its description in RNAcentral is "lncRNA (ENSSBOG00000036427.1)". Lineage: Eukaryota; Metazoa; Chordata; Mammalia; Primates; Cebidae. The record is from RNAcentral.
GGGGGCCGCAGCGCCCCCUGGUGGCCGGCGCCCGGCGGCGGGAUGACCGCGCCGCCCUCUGCGCGAGGACCUGGGCAGCAAGACCCCCGGAAAGCGGCGUGCAGCGGGUUGUUUCCCAGAGUGCGGCUCCUAUAGGUGGCACAUAUGAGGACAUUAUUACAGGCCUUCACGGAAUGUUAAUAUGUGCACAGUCACAGGCAUUGUGUUAUCUAUUUUUUAAAAAGAUAAGAGAUUGUGGACCUGUCAAUAUCUUCUGACCUGACUAGUAGCAUGACAAAGGGCACCCGUAGGAAGUGAUCAGGGCCCCCCAGACAGCUGCCUUCCAAAGGUGUAAUAAACAGGAAGAGCACAGCGAGGUAGGGACUGUCUCACAACUGU